Molecule: long non-coding RNA, 1050 nt
Filed under: Heterocephalus glaber (naked mole-rat)
Lineage: Eukaryota; Metazoa; Chordata; Mammalia; Rodentia; Bathyergidae
Description: lncRNA (ENSHGLG00000042269.1)
Source: RNAcentral
CACAGUGGUGAUGAGAUGUCUGACUCCGAGCCUCGUUCCCAUGCCUAGUCACCCUGGUCAGCCCUCAGGAGGGAAUGGAACCAGUGGGGAUGUCAGGCUGUGGGCUCCGGAUGUGGAUCCCUGGAGGAAGGCCUGACUCCCCAUUUCCACAGUCCCACCCCUCCCUCAGCUGUGGAUUGUUCUAGGAACAUUUACCGAGCACCUGCUGUUUGGAGCCAGGUUUUGGGAACUUAUGCUGUUCCCAGGGAGAUAGAGGGAAGACAGGGAAGGGAGAGCUGGGUUUGGCUCUCAGUUGUGUCCCUGAGCUGUGCCUGUCUCUACAGAAGUCAGAGGUCCCACUUGUUAGGCCCUUCAUAGCAGCUGAUGCUUCUCGGGACUACUGGUUUACCCCGGUGCAGCUAUGCAUUAGAACUUUUCUUGGCCCCAAGAUAACAGGGGAUGAAGCUGGGCCUCCCAGAGGUGAAGCCACCUGCCCAGCAUGAUCAGGCAGCCAGAGAGGGAGUGCAAGUGUCAUCAGAGCUGGUCAAGUGCUCAACCCCCACCCCAGCCCCAGGGGAUGAGUGCUUCCUAACCCUGCAGAGUGGGAUUUGGUGCAUUGCUCCUGACAUAUUUCAGAUUUUCCCACCUUUGUGGCGUGCGGUGCCCCCCCACCUCCAAGUUGUGCAUGGCAUGGGACCACAGACUAGGCAGGAAAUCUUCUCUUAGAGGAUACGGAAUCCCCCGCUUUACAGGCAGCCGAGGCCUGCAGAGGGUUUCUGAGGCCAUCCCACUGAAGCUUGGCAACCCUGAACUCAGCUUUCUGACCUUAUGUGACACAGUGACCCCCUCACUCAAGAAGCAGGUCCCUCCUAUGUGUCCCAGCACCCCUGGCCUGAGCAAACUGGCAAAGGGGCCCCCUCUGGAGGGACUGUCUGCCACCCCAGACCCCACCUCUCUCCCUGCCCCCUGCCCCUGCUGGUUGGGGAAGGGGCUCUCAUGGCCCAGGCUGAGCAGGCAGUGAGCAUGUCAAGUCGUCCAACACUGUGAAAUUAGUGCCCCCACCGCUCCCCC